Molecule: ribosomal RNA, 965 nt
Filed under: Promicromonospora sp. CB 286543
Lineage: Bacteria; Bacillati; Actinomycetota; Actinomycetes; Micrococcales; Promicromonosporaceae
Description: bacterial SSU rRNA
Rfam family: Bacterial small subunit ribosomal RNA
Source: RNAcentral
GCUGGGUGGAUCAGUGGCGAACGGGUGAGUAACACGUGAGCAACCUGCCCCCUACUUCGGGAUAAGCCUUGGAAACGGGGUCUAAUACCGGAUAUGAACACUUGCCGCAUGGUGGGUGUUGGAAAGUUUUUCGGUGGGGGAUGGGCUCGCGGCCUAUCAGCUUGUUGGUGGGGUAAUGGCCUACCAAGGCGUCGACGGGUAGCCGGCCUGAGAGGGCGACCGGCCACACUGGGACUGAGACACGGCCCAGACUCCUACGGGAGGCAGCAGUGGGGAAUAUUGCACAAUGGGCGAAAGCCUGAUGCAGCGACGCCACGUGAGGGAUGACGGCCUUCGGGUUGUAAACCUCUUUCAGCAGGGAAGAAGCGCAAGUGACGGUACCUGCAGAAGAAGCGCCGGCUAACUACGUGCCAGCAGCCGCGGUAAUACGUAGGGCGCAAGCGUUGUCCGGAAUUAUUGGGCGUAAAGAGCUCGUAGGCGGUCUGUCGCGUCUGGUGUGAAAUCCCAUGGCUCAACUGUGGGCUUGCAUCGGGUACGGGCAGACUAGAGUGCUGUAGGGGAGACUGGAAUUCCUGGUGUAGCGGUGGAAUGCGCAGAUAUCAGGAGGAACACCGAUGGCGAAGGCAGGUCUCUGGGCAGUUACUGACGCUGAGGAGCGAAAGCAUGGGGAGCGAACAGGAUUAGAUACCCUGGUAGUCCAUGCCGUAAACGUUGGGCACUAGGUGUGGGGCCAGUUCCACUGGUUCUGUGCCGCAGCUAACGCAUUAAGUGCCCCGCCUGGGGAGUACGGCCGCAAGGCUAAAACUCAAAGGAAUUGACGGGGGCCCGCACAAGCGGCGGAGCAUGCGGAUUAAUUCGAUGCAACGCGAAGAACCUUACCAAGGCUUGACAUGUACGAGAACGCGUCAGAGAUGACGAACUCUUUGGACACUCGUACACAGGUGGUGCAUGGUUGUCGUCAGCUC